UGGGUGUAAAGGGAGCGCAGGCGGGAGAACAAGUUGGAAGUGAAAUCCAUGGGUUCAACCCAUGAACUGCUUUCAAAACUGUUUUUCUUGAGUAGUGCAGAGGUAGGCGGAAUUCCCGGUGUAGCGGUGGAAUGCGUAGAUAUCGGGAGGAACACCAGUGGCGAAGGCGGCCUACUGGGCACCAACUGACGCUGAGGCUCGAAAGUGUGGGUAGCAAACAGGAUUAGAUACCCUGGUAGUCCACACCGUAAACGAUGAUCACUAGGUGUUGGAGGAUUGACCCCUUCAGUGCCGCAGUUAACACAAUAAGUAAUCCACCUGGGGAGUACGACCGCAAGGUUGAAACUCAAAGGAAUUGACGGGGGCCCGCACAAGCAGUGGAGUAUGUGGUUUAAUUCGACGCAACGCGAAGAACCUUACCAAGUCUUGACAUCCUGCGACGCACAUAGAAAUAUGUGUUUCCUUCGGGACGCGGAGACAGGUGGUGCAUGGUUGUCGUCAGCUCGUGUCGUGAGAUGUUGGGUUAAGUCCCGCAACGAGCGCAACCCUUAUGGUCAGUUACUACGCAAGAGGACUCUGGCCAGACUGCCGUUGAUAAAACGGAGGAAGGUGGGGAUGACGUCAAAUCAUCAUGCCCUUUAUGACUUGGGCUACACACGUACUACAAUGGCGUUAAACAAAGAGAAGCAAGACCGCGAGGUGGAGCAAAACUCAGAAACAACGUCCCAGUUCGGACUGCAGGCUGCAACUCGCCUGCACGAAGUCGGAAUUGCUAGUAAUCGUGGAUCAGCAUGCCACGGUGAAUACGUUCCCGGGCCUUGCACA
Molecule: ribosomal RNA, 825 nt
Filed under: uncultured bacterium
Lineage: Bacteria
Description: bacterial SSU rRNA
Rfam family: Bacterial small subunit ribosomal RNA
Source: RNAcentral